RNAcentral lists this non-coding RNA (78 nucleotides) under Rhizobacter sp. Root29. RNAcentral's name for it is "Alpha-proteobacteria SAM riboswitch aptamer". It matches the Rfam family "Alpha-proteobacteria SAM riboswitch aptamer". Rfam says of the family: This family is a riboswitch found predominantly in alpha-proteobacteria that binds S-adenosyl methionine (SAM). This SAM riboswitch is located upstream of the metA and metC genes in Agrobacterium tumefaciens, and other methionine and SAM biosynthesis genes in other alpha-proteobacteria. Like the other SAM riboswitch, it probably functions to turn off expression of these genes in response to elevated SAM levels. RNAcentral also lists the same sequence under 1 other name. Lineage: Bacteria; Pseudomonadati; Pseudomonadota; Betaproteobacteria; Burkholderiales; Sphaerotilaceae. The record is from Rfam by way of RNAcentral.
CUUGCCGCCAGCGCUGAUUUGUUCCGGCUUGCGGGCGCUUUAAAAAACCAGCUAAAGAAUGGACGCACCCACAGGUGU